CCUACGGGAGGCAGCAGUCGAGAGGCUUCGGCAAUGGGGGAAACCCUGACGCAGCGACGCCGCGUGGGUGAUGAAGGCCUUCGGGUCGUAAAGCCCUGUCGUAGGGGAAGAACUGGUUGCAGGCUAAUAUCCUGCAGCCUUGACGGUACCCUAUAAGAAAGCACCGGCUAACUCCGUGCCAGCAGCCGCGGUAAU
Molecule: ribosomal RNA, 195 nt
Filed under: uncultured bacterium
Lineage: Bacteria
Description: partial 16S ribosomal RNA
Rfam family: Bacterial small subunit ribosomal RNA
Source: RNAcentral